AUCUACAUGAAUAUGGUUACUGUAUAAUUCAUCCUUUUGACCCCUGUAUUUAGGAUGACUCAGGGUUAAACUGUCAACCCUGAUCAGAUCAUCCGAAUCGUGCUCAACUCAAACAGUCCUAUGACUCCUCACAAGGACUACCCUGGCCAAGAUUUUGCUAAAUUGAAAUACGACUAUACACAUCUCCUAAACUGGAGUGGUCAAUCCCAUCUUGACACACGCACCGACAAUCAAGUACUUGACUAUACCCAGCAGCCUUCCAUCACUGAAUUAAAAAUUCAGGUAGUCCAGUGCCUAAGUGCAGUGAGUUGCUUGCAAGUCACCGUGGCGGUCUUAGGUCGGAGGGACAUUUAUACCCAUAUUCUAUCAGAGCAAAUCUUGACAACAAAAAUAGCUCCAG
This 400-nucleotide long non-coding RNA is filed under the name Elaeis guineensis (African oil palm). RNAcentral describes it as "long non-coding RNA (EGUI_LNC071209)". The record is from RNAcentral. Lineage: Eukaryota; Viridiplantae; Streptophyta; Magnoliopsida; Arecales; Arecaceae.